RNAcentral lists this ribosomal RNA (422 nucleotides) under uncultured bacterium. Its description in RNAcentral is "bacterial SSU rRNA". It matches the Rfam family "Bacterial small subunit ribosomal RNA", at positions 355 to 774 of the family's 1533-position model. The record is from RNAcentral.
UGAGGAAUAUUGGGCAAUGCCCGCAAGGGUGACCCAGCAACGCCGCGUGGAGGAUGAAUGUCGUAAGAUUGUAAACUCCUGUUAGAGGGGAAGAAUAGUACCGGUUGGACCGGUAUAUGACUGUACCCUCAGAGAAAGCCCCGGCUAACUACGUGCCAGCAGCCGCGGUAAUACGUAGGGGGCAAGCGUUGUCCGGAUUUAAUGGGUGUAAAGGGCGCGCAGGCGGGAUAAAAAGUCAGUGGUGAAAUCCUACAGCUUAACUGUAGAACUGCCUUUGAUACUUUUAUUCUUGAGUUCGGGAGAGAGAGACGGAAUUCCAGGUGUAGUGGUGAAAUACGUAGAUAUCUGGAAGAACACCAGUUGCGAAGGCGGUCUCUUGGUCCGACACUGACGCUGAGGCGCGAAAGCGUGGGGAGCAAACA